RNAcentral lists this ribosomal RNA (483 nucleotides) under uncultured bacterium. Its description in RNAcentral is "partial 16S ribosomal RNA". It matches the Rfam family "Bacterial small subunit ribosomal RNA", at positions 30 to 507 of the family's 1533-position model. The record is from RNAcentral.
UUGCACGCUGGCGGCAGGCCUAACCCAUGCAAGUCGAGCGGAUGAAGGGAGCUUGCUCCUGGAUUCAGCGGCGGACGGGUGAGUAAUGCCUAGGAAUCUGCCUGGUCGUGGGGGAUAACGUCCGGAAACGGGCGCUAAUACCGCAUACGUCCUGAGGGAGAAAGUGGGGGAUCUUCGGACCUCACGCUAUCAGAUGAGCCUAGGUCGGAUUAGCUAGUUGGUGGGGUAAAGGCCUACCAAGGCGACGAUCCGUAACUGGUCUGAGAGGAUGAUCAGUCACACUGGAACUGAGACACGGUCCAGACUCCUACGGGAGGCAGCAGUGGGGAAUAUUGGACAAUGGGCGAAAGCCUGAUCCAGCCAUGCCGCGUGUGUGAAGAAGGUCUUCGGAUUGUAAAGCACUUUAAGUUGGGAGGAAGGGCAGUAAGUUAAUACCUUGCUGUUUUGACGUUACCAACAGAAUAAGCACCGGCUAACUUCGUG